GCAGUCGAACGAUGAAGUUCCUUCGGGAAUGGAUUAGUGGCGAACGGGUGAGGAACACGUGAGAAACCUGCCUUUCAUUCUGGGAUAACACCGGGAAACCGGUGCUAAUACCGGAUACUCCAUCUUGGCGGCAUCGCCGAGCUGGGAAAAAAUUUUGAUGAAAGAUGGUCUCGCGGCCUAUCAGCUAGUUGGUGAGGUAAAGGCUCACCAAGGCGACGACGGGUAGCCGGCCUGAGAGGGCGACCGGCCACACUGGGACUGAGACACGGCCCAGACUCCUACGGGAGGCAGCAGUAGGGAAUAUUGGGCAAUGGGCGAAAGCCUGACCCAGCGACGCCGCGUGAGGGAUGAAGGUCUUCGGAUUGUAAACCUCUUUCAGUAGGGAAGAAGCGAAAGUGACGGUACCUAAAGAAGAAGCACCGGCUAACUAUGUGCCAGCAGCCGCGGUAAUACAUAGGGUGCAAGCGCUGUCCGGAAUUAUUGGGCGUAAAGAGCUCGUAGGUCGUUUGUCGCGUCGAUUGUGAAAAUCUGAGGCUCAACCUCAGACCUGCAGUCGAUACGGGCAAACUAGAGUGUGGUAGGGGAGACUGGAAUUCCUGGUGUAGCGGUGGAAUGCGCAGAUAUCAGGAGGAACACCAAUGGCGAAGGCAGGUCUCUGGGCCAUAACUGACACUGAGGAGCGAAAGUGCGGGGAGCGAACAGGAUUAGAUACCCUGGUAGUCCGCACCGUACACGGUGGGCACUAGUUGUGGGAACCUUCCACGGUUUCCGCGACGCAGCAAACGCAUUAAGUGCCCCGCCUGCGGAGUACGAUCGCAAGAUUAAAACUCAGAGGAAUUGACGGGGCCCCGCACAAGCAGCGGAGCAUGCGGCUUAAUUCGACGCAACGCGAAGAACCU
RNAcentral lists this ribosomal RNA (899 nucleotides) under uncultured Actinomycetales bacterium. Its description in RNAcentral is "bacterial SSU rRNA". It matches the Rfam family "Bacterial small subunit ribosomal RNA", at positions 57 to 971 of the family's 1533-position model. The record is from RNAcentral. Lineage: Bacteria; Bacillati; Actinomycetota; Actinomycetes; Actinomycetales.